UACGUAGGGGGCAAGCGUUGUCCGGAUUUAUUGGGCGUAAAGAGCGUGUAGGCGGCUAUACAGGUCCGUUGUGAAAACUGGAGGCUUAACCUCCAGACGUCGAUGGAAACCGGAUGGCUAGAGUCCGGAAGAGGAGAGUGGAAUUCCUGGUGUAGCGGUGAAAUGCGCAGAUAUCAGGAAGAACACCCGUGGCGAAGGCGGAUCUCUGGGACGGUACUGACGCUGAGACGCGAAAGCGUGGGGAGCGAACAGG
This 253-nucleotide ribosomal RNA is filed under the name uncultured bacterium. RNAcentral describes it as "partial 16S ribosomal RNA". It matches the Rfam family "Bacterial small subunit ribosomal RNA", at positions 524 to 776 of the family's 1533-position model. The record is from RNAcentral.